CCUACGGGACGCAGCAGUGGGGAAUAUUGCACAAUGGGGGAAACCCUGAUGCAGCGACGCCGCGUGAGCGAUGAAGUAUCUCGGUAUGUAAAGCUCUAUCAGCAGGGAAGAAAGUGACAGUACCUGACUAAGAAGCCCCGGCUAACUACGUGCCAGCAGCCGCGGUAAUACGUAGGGGGCAAGCGUUAUCCGGAUUCACUGGGCGUAAAGGGAGCGCAGGCGGCACGGCAAGUCUGGUGUGAAAACCCGGGGCUCAACCCCGGGACUGCAUUGGAAACUGCCGGGCUGGAGUGUCGGAGGGGUAA
RNAcentral lists this ribosomal RNA (305 nucleotides) under uncultured bacterium. Its description in RNAcentral is "bacterial SSU rRNA". It matches the Rfam family "Bacterial small subunit ribosomal RNA", at positions 338 to 660 of the family's 1533-position model. The record is from RNAcentral.